AUUGAACGCUGGCGGUAGGCCUAACACAUGCAAGUCGAACGGCAGCACAGUAAUAGCUUGUUCUUACGGGUGGCGAGUGGCGGACGGGUGAGGAAUACAUCGGAAUCUAUGUUUGCGUGGGGGAGAACGUAGGGAAACUUACGCUAAUACCGCAUACGGCCUACGGGUGAAAGCAGCGGAUCUUCGGACCUUGCGCGAUUGAAUGAGCCGAUGUCUGGUUGGCGAGUUGGCGGGGUAAAGGCCCACCAAGGCGACGAUCCGUAGCUGGUCUGAGAGGAUGAUCAGCCACACUGGAACUGAGACACGGUCCAGACUCCUACGGGAGGCAGCAGUGGGGAAUAUUGGACAAUGGGCGAAAGCCUGAUCCAGCCAUACCGCGUGGGUGAAGAAGGCCUUCGGGUUGUAAAGCACUUUUGUUGGGAAAGAAAAGCAGCAGGUUAAUACCCCGCUGUUCUGACGGUACCCAAAGAAUAAGCACCGGCUAACUUCGUG
This 492-nucleotide ribosomal RNA is filed under the name uncultured bacterium. Its description in RNAcentral is "partial 16S ribosomal RNA". It matches the Rfam family "Bacterial small subunit ribosomal RNA", at positions 30 to 507 of the family's 1533-position model. The record is from RNAcentral.